Molecule: long non-coding RNA, 1067 nt
Filed under: Calidris pugnax (ruff)
Lineage: Eukaryota; Metazoa; Chordata; Aves; Charadriiformes; Scolopacidae
Description: lncRNA (ENSCPUG00000016876.1)
Source: RNAcentral
GUGCUGUUAUAAUAUCACUAGCCUAUCAAAGCUGUGAAAUUUAAAUCCCCUUAAAAAUUAGGAUUAUUUAUGUGCCUGAAAUGACACAGUUUAUUGGAUUAGAACAACCAUUCCAAAUAUGAACCUGAUUUGAAUAAUAAUUGCCAAUUCCUUGUUAUUGAAAAGACAGCCUCAUUUCUCUGUUGGUUUGGGUCUAACAUUUUUCCCCUUUUCUUUUUUAUAAACAUUUCUCUUUUAACAUCUCUCCAGUGCUUGUACUAAGACUAAUCCAAAACCGGAAAGGGAAACAGUUUCAAUCAGCAGGUGAUGGAACAGCAGCUUCUGUCUGUGUUCAAACCUCAAGGACACAGGUACUGACAAACACUGCACCUUCCAAGCAAGCCCUCCUCUCCUUACCAAGUGUCCGAAAUCCAGGCCAGCACAAGGAACACCACUGAGCGACUGGGACAGCCCAACCUUUGUGGCAGCUGAGGGGCACAGAAUCCCUUGUGAGGAGGAUGAGACACUUCAUGCCCAAGGAAAAAUCAGCAAGUCUCUUGGGAGGGCACAGACUGCAAAUCGUAGCACACAAAGGUAUGAGGCAGCUAAUGAAGUGAAGCAAGCCUGUUUUCAGAACACCAGAACUGUUAAAUAGGGGUUAGCACCUCUGUUUCAGGAUUUUCUAUCAGAAAAAGGCUGAGAUCUGCUCCUUUGGAAGAAUAAUUCCUCACUGACCCAGAGCGAGACAGUGAGUUCAACGAACAAAAUGAAAAGGACCAAGCCUGCAAACCUGACUGGUAUACACAAUGUCUUUUCCUCUACAAGAUUGAAUAGACAAAAGGUAUAACGGCUGGAAACUGGUCCCUAUUUCACCUCUAAAUCCCUCCUUUAGGUGCCUUCAGCCCACUGGAGCCUACUUGAGGACCCAAAGAGCCCAGAGGAGAUGUUUGGUGUCAGAUCCUUGCUACAACUGUCCAAGAACAAGGAGAAAGUGGUGAGUUUCUAAACAGACAACUUAUAACAUGUAAACUCAUUGUCACAAAAAUGGCAAGAAUAAACUGGGAAGUGUUGUGAAUGGAAAUGAGCUA